GUAUUGGUUUGGCUCCAUUGUCUUCAAUGGAGUUAAUCCUCACCCUGAUUUGAGCACGAGAAGAAGAGAAGACGACCAUCCAUCCCUGAAUGUAUGGCUGGGGAGGUCUGCUUAUACAGAGCUUGCAUUUUGUGCAGACCGUAGCCCUGCACAGGGGAAAGCACCGAAUGAGAGACCAGAUUCUGCCAUGGAAAUUAAACCAUGCAGCAUGUUUCUUCCACUGAACAUCUCUCGCUUUCAGUAAUGAGCUGGGUUAAUGGAUAGUGAAGAUGGUGGUGGUGGGGAGAACGGAUGGUGGGAAACAAAGCACAGCCAAACCUCGGGCUUUUUGCAAGUUAUAAAUACUGUACAAAAUUCUACUCCUGAUACUGGAAAAUGCUUUCUCCCGUUGUUCAAAGUGACUCCAGAUGCUGAUGUACUUAGUGCACAGUGCAAGUAACCCGACUGGAAUGAAAAAGCAAGGAAUUCUUCUACUGCCUUUAUGCCCAAGGGAUAGAUGGAGAAGAUAACUGUACACAAACCGCUCCAGCUGUGAAGCUAAUACUGAAAAGAUAUUCUACUUCUAUUUAUAGGGAUACUCUGUUCUACAAAUUGCUCGUAACAAUCUCUGAAAUUGAGAAUUAAAAAAAAAACCCACAGGAAAAUAUAUUUCCAUUUAUCCUAAGUGUCCCUUUUUAUAAUUUAUUAAGGUCACAGUUUUGGCCUAUAUGAGAGACAAUAGCUUAUCUAUAGCAAAAUGACAUGCAGAGAGUUGUCAUUUGGUGGGAUUUGCAUCGUAUAGAUUAGUAUUAUUUAAGCAUUUAAGAAAACAGAUUUGAAUUGGCUGUGGAAAUUAUCUUAACCGUACAUGCAAUGGCCAGGGACAGGAGAGAACAUCCGGACCAAAUAACUCCUACUUAUGCUUGACAUCGUACCUUCAUUCCAAAGUUGACAAAAUAAAUGCCUGCAAUGACAGCUUGUGUCACUGAAUAAAUGGCAAGAAUCUGUGUUUCUCUACCCAUAUUGCAGGGGACUGUCCUCCUCUAGCUUUUUUCUCCCUAAAAAACAAGCUAGGACAUCCAAUUCCCUGUGCCCUCGUCAUUAAACUGAGCCAUUUAAGCUACAGCGUCAGUUCUUGAUACAUUAGAAAAUGGCAGAUUUAAGACUCCCUGGGUAAUCUUUUUUUGUCCCUCCGCAUGUGCAUAUGUUUUUUUACAAACCCGUCCAUGACACAGUCGUAUUUUAGACUUUCCCACAGGAUGCAUGCCUCAUUCUGUACAACACAGGAUAAUCACACCCAGUGGUAGAAAUAAAUUAGCAUAGCAAUCUUAAUCUGGUAUUUCCUAAUUCUCCUAAUUUCCUUAUCCUUCAGUGUUCGUCUGCACUACUCUAAACAAUACUCUCUUAAUGUAAUUUUUUCAUGUUAUCAUUUAAAUAUAAGUAGGCACAUUUGUGUAUCUCUCCAUCUAUCUGGAUCUGUUAAUGUAUUGGUAAACGCAAAAGGAAAAGAUAAAA
Long non-coding RNA from Columba livia (rock pigeon), 1494 nucleotides. RefSeq lists it as uncharacterized. The record is from RefSeq and is a predicted model, not a curated record. The transcript has 4 exons. NCBI's taxonomy places the organism in Eukaryota, Metazoa, Chordata, Aves, Columbiformes, Columbidae.